RNAcentral lists this ribosomal RNA (253 nucleotides) under uncultured bacterium. RNAcentral's name for it is "partial 16S ribosomal RNA". It matches the Rfam family "Bacterial small subunit ribosomal RNA", at positions 524 to 776 of the family's 1533-position model. The record is from RNAcentral.
UACGAAGGGUGCAAGCGUUACUCGGAAUUACUGGGCGUAAAGCGUGCGUAGGUGGUGAGUUAAGUCUGUCGUGAAAGCCCCGGGCUCAACCUGGGAAUGGCGAUGGAUACUGGCUCGCUAGAGUGCGGUAGAGGAGAGUGGAAUUCCCGGUGUAGCAGUGAAAUGCGUAGAGAUCGGGAGGAACAUCAGUGGCGAAAGCGGCUUCCUGGACCAGCACCGACGUUCAGGCACGAAAGCGUGGGGAGCAAACAGG